UACGGAAGGCAGCAGUGGGGAAUAUUGCACAAUGGGCGAAAGCCUGAUGCAGCUAUGCCGCGUGUAUGAAGAAGGCCUUAGGGUUGUAAAGUACUUUCAUCGGGGAGGAAAAAACAAAACUAAUAAUUUUAUUUCUUGACGUUACCCGAAAAAGAAGCACCGGCUAACUCCGUGCCAGCAGCCGCGGUAAUACGGAGGGUGCUAGCGUUAAUCAGAAUUACUGGGCGUAAAGAGCACGUAGGUGGUUUUUUUAAAGUCAGAUGUGAAAUCCCUGGGCUUAACCUAGGAACUGCAUUUUGAAACUGAAAUACUAGAGUAUCGUAGAGGGAGGUAGAAUUCUAGGUGUAGCGGUGAAAUGCGUAGAUAUCUGGAGGAAUACCUGUGGCGAAAGCGGCCUCCUAAACGAAUACUGACACUGAGGUGCGAAAAGCGUGGGGAGCAAAACAGGGAUUAAAUACC
RNAcentral lists this ribosomal RNA (459 nucleotides) under uncultured bacterium. RNAcentral's name for it is "bacterial SSU rRNA". It matches the Rfam family "Bacterial small subunit ribosomal RNA", at positions 340 to 786 of the family's 1533-position model. The record is from RNAcentral.